UUGAUUAUGGCUCAGAUUGAACGCUGGCGGAUGCUUUUACACAUGCAAGUCGAACGGCAGCACGGACUGGUCUGGUGGCGAGUGCGAACGGGUGAGUAAUGUAUCGGAACGUGCCUAGUAGCGGGGGAUAACUACGCGAAAGCGUGCAGCUAUUCCUGCUCGCCCUUCGGGGGAAAGCGGAGGCCUUCGGGCCUCGCACUAUUAGAGCGGCCGAUAUCGGAUUAGCUAGUUGGUGGGGGUAACGGCUCGCAAGGCGACGAUCCGUAGCUGGUUUGAGACGACCAGCCACGCGGACGAGACACGGCUGCAGGCGGCUCCUACAGGAGGCAGCGGUGAAAUUUUGGACAAUGGGGGAAACCCUGAUCCAGCCAUCCCGCGUGUGCGAUGAAAUUUCGGGUUUGUAAAGCACUUUUGGCAGGAAAGAAACGGCACGGGAUAAUACCCAUUACGGCAAUGACCUGCAGAAUAAGCACCGGCUAACUACGUACCAGCAGCCGCGGUAAUACGUAGGGUGCAAGCGUUAAUCGGAAUUACUGGGCGUAAAGCGUGCGCAGGCGGUUCAGAAGAUGUGAAAUCCAGAGCUUAACUUUGGAACUGCAUUUUUAACUACCGAGCUACAGAGUGUGUCAGGAGGUGGAAUUCCCGCGAUAACAGCGAUGAAAUGCGUAGAUAUGCGGAGGAACACCGAUAGCGAAGGCAGCCUCCUGGAUACCACUGACGCUCAUGCACGAAAGCAUUGGGAGCAAACAGGAUUGAUGCCCUGGUAGUCCACGCCCCUAAACGAUGUCAACUAGCUGUUGGAGACCUUCGGGCCUUGGUGGCCUGACUAACGCGUGAAGUUGACCGCCUGGGAGUACGGUCGCAAGAUUAAAACUCAAAGGAAUUGACGGGGACCCGCACAAGCGGUGGCAGAUGAUGUGGAUUAGCCAAUUCGAUGCAACGCGAAAGAGUACCACCACUUGACAUGUCUGGAAUCCCGAAGAGAUUUGGGAGUGUCGCAAGAAGGCAGGAACCUGGUGCUGCAUGGCUGUCGUCCAGCUCUAUUGUCGUGAGAUGUUGGGUUAAGUCCUGGCAGAGGCUGUACUCCUUGUCGUAGUUGCUACGAAAGGCACUCUAAUAGGACUGCCGGUGACAAACCGGAGGAAGGUGGGGAUGACGUCAGUCCUCAUGGCCCAUAUGGUGGGGCUUCACACGUCAUACAAUGGUCGGGAUAGAGGAUUAUAGCCGCGAGGAGCCAAUCCCAGAAACCCGAUCAUGAUCCGGAUCGCAGUCUGCAACUCGACUGCGUGAAGUCGGAAUCCCGCUAGUAAUCGCCAGGAUCAGCAUCUCGCGGUGAAUACGUUCCCGGGUCUUGUACACACCGCCCGUCACACCAUGGGAGUGGGUUGCAGAAGUAGUUAGCCUAACCAGGAGGGCGAUUACCACGGUAAGUUCAUGACUGGGGUGAAGUCGUAACAAGGUAA
This 1463-nucleotide ribosomal RNA is filed under the name uncultured Bordetella sp. RNAcentral describes it as "partial 16S-23S ribosomal RNA intergenic spacer". It matches the Rfam family "Bacterial small subunit ribosomal RNA". The record is from RNAcentral. Lineage: Bacteria; Pseudomonadati; Pseudomonadota; Betaproteobacteria; Burkholderiales; Alcaligenaceae.